UACAGAGGCCUCGAGCGUUAGGCGGAAUCCCUGGGCUUAAAGCGUGUGUAGGCGGACUUCUAAGUACCUUGUGAAAUCCCACAGCUUAACUGUGGAACUGCUUGGUAUACUGGUUGUCUUGAGGUACCUAGGGGCGAGCGGAACAAGUGGUGGAGCGGUGAAAUGCGUAGAUAUCAUUUGGAACGCCAAUGGUGAAAACAGGUAGCUGGGGAUGUGCUGACGCUGAGACACGAAAGCCAGGGGAGCAAACGGG
Molecule: ribosomal RNA, 253 nt
Filed under: uncultured bacterium
Lineage: Bacteria
Description: partial 16S ribosomal RNA
Rfam family: Bacterial small subunit ribosomal RNA
Source: RNAcentral